UAGCUUCUUGCUAAAACAUGCC
Molecule: microRNA, 22 nt
Filed under: Caenorhabditis elegans
Lineage: Eukaryota; Metazoa; Nematoda; Chromadorea; Rhabditida; Rhabditidae
Description: cel-miR-355-3p
Gene: cel-miR-355-3p
Source: miRBase by way of RNAcentral